This 420-nucleotide ribosomal RNA is filed under the name uncultured bacterium. RNAcentral's name for it is "partial 16S ribosomal RNA". It matches the Rfam family "Bacterial small subunit ribosomal RNA", at positions 361 to 773 of the family's 1533-position model. The record is from RNAcentral.
AUUUUGGACAAUGGGGGAAACCCUGAUCCAGCCAUCCCGCGUGUAUGAUGAAGGCNUUNNGGUUGNANAGUACUUUUGGCAGANNNNNAAAGGUAUCUCCUAAUACGAGAUACUGCUGACGGUAUCUGCAGAAUAAGCACCGGCUAACUACGUCCCAGCAGCCGCGGUAAUACGUAGGGUGCAAGCGUUAAUCGGAAUUACUGGGCGUAAAGAGUGUGUAGGCGGUUCGGAAAGAAAUAUGUGAAAUACAAGGGCUCAACCUUGGAACUACAUUUUUAACAGCCGAGCUAGAGUAUGUCAGAGGGGGGUAGAAUUCCACGUGUAGAAGUGAAAUGCGUAGAUAUGUGGAGGAAUACCGAUGGCGAAGGCAGCCCCCUGGGAUAAUACUGACGCUCAGACACGAAAGCGUGGGGAGCAAAC